Taeniopygia guttata (zebra finch) is the source of this 3808-nucleotide non-coding RNA. The record is from RefSeq and is a predicted model, not a curated record. NCBI's taxonomy places the organism in Eukaryota, Metazoa, Chordata, Aves, Passeriformes, Estrildidae.
GGGCACAGCAUCCUCGGGGAGAGUGUGUCCGGGGCCGGGGCACAGCAUCCUCCGGGAGCGUGUGUGCGCGGUCGGAAGGCAGGAGCUCCGCGCCGGCCUUUCUGGGGGUGGAGGGUGCCGCUCGUCCCCCUCCUUCCCGCAGCGGUCAGAGGGAAGUUUGGUGCCCGGGCUGCGGGGGGGGGAUCUGCGGGCAGCGCCCCGCGGACCGAGAGAGCCGCUGACCGUCCCUUCGGCAGCGCAGGUGGUGGUGGUGGGGGAGAAGGGCGCCCGGGGGACUCCGGUGGUCCGGGACCGGCGGGAUGCAGAGCGACACGGGGGUGGCUGAGGGAAGGUCCCUUCCCUAGCAGUGCCUGAUGUGUUUCUCAGAGGCACCGAGCACGCAUAGCUUCCCUCUGCUUCGAAAUCAGGCCAUCGUAGAAUCAUAAAUAUAUAAUAUUGCGCUCCUAUGAUAUUAUGAGUAGAGAGCAGGAGAGUUAAACGCAUGCAUUGAGGAGAGGCAAAUGACAUGUAAAGGGCUUUGCUGCACAACUGCAGAGCGAUUCUCAAAUGAAAAAAAUUCAAAUCCUUACAAGAAUAAAUUUAAUUCCUGCUCGCAUGUUCCCAUAUCGCCUGCUAGGCAAGAACGCGUGAUGGAUAUCGAGCAACGAUUAGUGGAGUUACAUCUGGGUUUGGUCCACAUGGUGACUUACUGCUGAUCAAACAGCAGUCUGAAAAUCCCGAGCUGGAAAAGACCCAUUCUGGACAGAACAAUUCUACUUUGCACAUCUCUUCCAGGUCAGGGUGAAGCAGACAGCAUUGGGAAGUGUCCUGGAGGAAAGAAAAGAAGCAUCGAGCCCCACACACAAUCCUGUAUGACCAAGCAGAGCCAAACUCGCACGCUGGCUCUGCCCAGGGCACAGGGACCCCUCGGCUGCCCCCCGAGAAGUUCCUGUGCUCUGGGCAGAGGCUUGGAACCCCAAAACUGGAGCUGGAAACCUUCCCCCCCCAGCUUCCAUCCCUGGCAAAACAUACGUAUUUAUCUUGAAAGUUUGCGUUUUGACAUGUCAGCGGUUCUGCAAUAUAAAUGUGCUUGGGAUAUUUUUGAUCGGCCUAAUGGUUAGGAACUAUUAGAAGCUGCAGAACAUAUUCACAAUCAAUCCACUUAUUCAGGUGCAUGAAUACAAGCUUAGAAAAGUAAUUACAGGCACCUUUUUUCGGAAAUCUUGAGGCUGUGUGGUUUCCCCAUGGGAAAUAUGAGUAAUAAAUUCCUACUUAAAAAAAAAAAAAAAAAAAAAGAAGCAAAUGUGCUAAGCAUUAUUCUUAUUUAUUUUUGUCUUUAAUAUUUAAAAUUGUUGAUUAAAUGUUCCAGGUGAGGCAAGGCUGGAGAAAAAUUAAAAUCCUUAAUUUCAACUAUUCUUUAAAAGAAUAAACAGAAAUAUUUGAUAUCGGUAAUUUAGAUCUUCUUUACACUUUUUAAAUUUUAGUUGUCUUUUGUAAGAGAAAUGGGUUUUUAUUUUUUUGGUAAAUGUGUAAACAGAAAUCAGCUGAUCAGAAUUAGCAGCUCUGGCUAUUUUUGUUUUUCAGCUGAGAGUUUAUGUUGCAUCUAUAGAGUUAACAUCAUAUCUAUACACAUUAAAUACAUCUGGUUUAGGUUUAAAAUAUUUUAUUCAAAAGUUAAUUUCUUACCCUCUAUUGUUACAAUAUGGUGAAUAGUACUUGACAUUUUUAGUUAUUUAUGAUUUGCAUCAAGUUCUCUUUGUAUGAAAACUGACAUUCAACUAAAAUUUAUUUGAGGUCAUUUAAAAUUGUUCAUUAAAACCAUCACAAAAGUGUUUGAUGCAUUUCAAAAGUAUCUCUGCAUUUUAAGGUAUUUUAUGAACUAACUGAAAUAAUGGCCCCUAGAAGGGGAAUUAAAUUGGUGGCAUCUGGUAGCCAUGGCUUUGACAAUCUUAGAGAAAGCAGAUCUUAUCCUCUCACACUUGGGUUUAGCUGUAGAUUGACAGAGGAAAAUAGGCAAUCUUACUUUUUCUUCUCUAAUGUUGAUUUUUCAGCUUUAAUAGUCCUUAACUGAACUACUCAAAUGGAUUGAAACAAAGAAGAUAUUCACCCUGCCUGCAGAAGAAUCUGCAGCUCUCAAAAAUUGCUUUCCUGCAUCAGCUACGUCCUGUUCCAUCUGCUUAGCCAAGGCACUCAGGCUGGUGGUGUCACCUUCUGAAGCUCAGGAACAGCAAAUAUCUCUUUGUGACAAUUGAAGAGGUUCUGUGUUCCCCAUCACUUCUGGGACAUGUCAGACAUCCUGCACAUGCCCUGCAGAGCUCAUCUGUGCCUGUGCACUCCAGCCUGCACCUCCCAGGUGCUUUCCUGAGGCAUCAGAUGGAAUGAACGUGUGCUAGGAGCAGCUGAUCCACACAGUCUGGGUGGUCUUUGCCAGGACAGGGGGGUAUGUGGUGCACCUGAGCUCUGAGGCAUGGCUGUAUGUCCCUGAAACCUGGAUAAAUGUGGAGGAACAUCAGGUUGUGCCUGGGCAUGGUUAUCACAUGGAGAGAACGAUGUGUUGUCCAGGAUGGAAAGAUCUGUUCGUCAGGCAGUGGAGCUUCACACUGCUAACACACACACAGACACCAAAAUAAAAGUUUACAGGAUUUUUUUUGUUAAAUUUUACAUCUUUUCCACAGAAAUGUGGAAGUGGGUCUGAUGAAUGACUAAUAUCCCAUUGUCAUUUCUUUAGGGGGGAGGAGGUGUCUAACCUGUGUGAUAUUUUUAAGCUAAUAAACCGCUAGUUCUUAACACUAAAUUUACCAAUCAAAUCAGCCUCGUGUUGUUUUGCAGUAAACCUUAGCGAUCUCCUUUUAGCUGGGGUUAGGUGUUCCCUGCAACUCCUCAUAAAAUAGGGAGCUGUGGUACUCUGCCUGUGGGGAAAAAGCCUGGAGCCACAUAGUGAUGUAUCUGUUCAGCAGUGUGAGAGAGAAAUUCCCUAUUCACAGCCCUGCUCAGUCAUCAUUGCCUGCCGGUAAACUUUAAAUUGCCCGAGUUGCUUAAUGUCGAGAUUAAAAGCCAUUUGUUUCUUUCUUGUCCUAUGCUGUGUUUGGCAAAACAGAAGGCACAAAAGUCUCACAAUUGCUUGGAUGCCCAGCAAACAGUUACACAUUGUCCAAUUGUAUGGGUUUUUCUUGUUCUUAAAAAUAUGGUCUAAUAAUGCUAUAGAUACCAGAGGACCUUUCCAUUUGCCCAUUGUGAGCAAAAUGAAAAGCUGAAGUCUUGAAUACCAAAGUGCAAUUCUGUGAUUUGUAAAACUGAGUAGGUAUAUCCAGCAGCUACAGAAAAAUGACAGGACAAAACCUCAAACAAGCCAUCAUAGUUUCUUCCCAAAGAUGCCAAUAAAAAAGGCUUUGGAAUAAUAUUCAGCGUUUAAUUAAGACAAAUGAGAAAUGUCACAAAUAAUGCGUGUUACAGGUCACAACAAAACCAUGUGGAAUGUAGAAUUUCUCCUGUAGAAUUUCUCCUUAAGCACUGAUGUAAUUCCAAGUCUCAUUUAACAUGAGUUUUUCUUGAACUUUACUACUGUGUCAGAGGCUGAGAUGCUGCAAGUAACUCUAAAACCUGAACAGCGGUUGCUUAUGUUCCUAACAGCAAGAUGAAAUAUCUGCAUCCUCCUGUAUUAAAAUAGAAAAUGAAGUAGAGAGAAUAAAAAAGAAAACAAAGUAUUUGCAUUUUGAAAGCUGUAUUAUAUAUUUGGAAGAGCUCGAAAAGAUGAGCUGCUUUUCAGUGUUAUAAAUUAAAAAAUAUUACUGGGUGGCCAUCUAUAGCAAUAAAAGGUUUUUGGAUUGGC